Molecule: ribosomal RNA, 260 nt
Filed under: uncultured bacterium
Lineage: Bacteria
Description: partial 16S ribosomal RNA
Rfam family: Bacterial small subunit ribosomal RNA
Source: RNAcentral
GUCCACGCCGUAACGAUGAGUGCUAAGUGUUGGAGGUUUCCGCCCUUCAGUGCUGCAGCUAACGCAUUAAGCACUCCGCCUGGGAGUACGGUCGCAAGACUGAAACUCAAAGGAAUUGACGGGGCCCGCACAAGCGGUGGAGCAUGUGGUUUAAUUCGAAGCAACGCGAAGAACCUUACCAGGUCUUGACAUCCUUUGACCACUCUAGAGAUAGAGCUUUCCCUUCGGGGACAAAGUGACAGGUGGUGCAUGGUUGUCGU